GACGAACGCUGGCGGCGUGCUUAACACAUGCAAGUCGAACGGAAAGGCCCCUUUGGGGGUACUCGAGUGGCGAACGGGGGAGUAACACGUGAGUAACCUGCCCUUGACUUCGGGAUAACUUCAGGAAACUGGGGCUAAUACCGGAUAGGAAUCCUUGCUGCAUGGUGGGGGUUGGAAAGCUUCGGCGGUUUUGGAUGGACUCGCUGCUUAUCAGCGUGUUGGUUGGGUAGUGGCUUACCAAGGCUUUGACGGGUAGCCGGCCUGAGAGGGCGACCGGCCACAUUGGGACUGAGAUACGGCCCAGACUCCUACGGGAGGCAGCAGUGGGGAAUAUUGCACAAUGGGCGGAAGCCUGAUGCAGCAACGCCGCGUGCGGGAUGACGGCCUUCGGGUUGUAAACCGCUUUCAGCAGGGGCGAAGCUUGUGGUGACGGUACCUGCAGAAGAAGCACCGGCUAACUACGUG
RNAcentral lists this ribosomal RNA (465 nucleotides) under uncultured bacterium. RNAcentral describes it as "partial 16S ribosomal RNA". It matches the Rfam family "Bacterial small subunit ribosomal RNA", at positions 28 to 507 of the family's 1533-position model. The record is from RNAcentral.